GCCCCGGUAGCUCAGCUGGAUAGAGCGGCUGCCUUCUAAGCAGCGGGUCGCAGGUUCGAGUCCUGCCCGGGGCGCCA
This 77-nucleotide transfer RNA is filed under the name Pseudomonadota bacterium. Its description in RNAcentral is "Proteobacteria bacterium (marine metagenome) tRNA-Arg". It matches the Rfam family "tRNA". Rfam says of the family: Transfer RNA (tRNA) molecules are approximately 80 nucleotides in length. Their secondary structure includes four short double-helical elements and three loops (D, anti-codon, and T loops). Further hydrogen bonds mediate the characteristic L-shaped molecular structure. tRNAs have two regions of fundamental functional importance: the anti-codon, which is responsible for specific mRNA codon recognition, and the 3' end, to which the tRNAs corresponding amino acid is attached (by aminoacyl-tRNA synthetases). tRNAs cope with the degeneracy of the genetic code in two manners: having more than one tRNA (with a specific anti-codon) for a particular amino acid; and 'wobble' base-pairing, i.e. permitting non-standard base-pairing at the 3rd anti-codon position. RNAcentral also lists the same sequence under 3 other names. Lineage: Bacteria; Pseudomonadati; Pseudomonadota. The record is from RNAcentral.